Molecule: long non-coding RNA, 492 nt
Organism: Salarias fasciatus (jewelled blenny)
Lineage: Eukaryota; Metazoa; Chordata; Actinopteri; Blenniiformes; Blenniidae
Exons: 2
Source: RefSeq, a predicted model, not a curated record
UUCACAACUGCCAGUGUUGUGUAAUUUGCAUGCCACAACAGGAGGUGGCGCUGUUGAUGCCGUUUAACGCAUAGCACCAUCCACCAUGGCCAGGACCACAACCGAGUGAGUCAGUCGCCCCAAAACAACACGCCCUGAGCAGCCAACAGGAGAGCUGCUGAUGAAGUGAAUGAACCUCAUCCAGACUGCGCUCCUGUCAUCACAUCUCAACACACGGAGGUGAAAGCUGCGGAAAGAUUCCAACAGAGAGAAAGGAGACAGGAGACUGUGACGGCAGUUACUGCACCUGCUGCACCUGAACCUCACACACCUGAUGGUUAUCAAGCUCCACAACAGAGCGACAUGGUGGAGAAUGAGCAGUGUGUCAGUUGUAAACUUAUGAAUGGUGAAAUGAAGUCCAUGUGUGCUGAGAUGAACCGCUUGUUUUGUUUAUCUUGAUUAUAUGUGACCAACUUCUGUUUUUCUGUAAAUAAAAAUUGAUGGCUAACAGUC